AUGGACAAGCUGUCACGGGCACACGGUGGAUGCCUUGGCACCAGGAGCCGAUGAAGGACGUGGGAGGCUGCGAUAAGCCUGGGGGAGCUGUCAACCGAGCUGAGAUCCCAGGAUGUCCGAAUGGGGAAACCCAGCACUCGUGAUGGAGUGUUACCCGCACCUGAAUGUAUAGGGUGUGUGGAGGGAACGCGGGGAAGUGAAACAUCUCAGUACCCGUAGGAAGAGAAAACAACCGUGAUUCCCUGAGUAGUGGUGAGCGAAAGGGGAAGAGGCUAAACCGGCCGCGUGGUAAAGCCGGCAGGCGUUGCGUGGCCGGGGUUGUGGGACCGUUCGGCCGGAGCUGCCGGUCCGGCGGGGAUCGCGUCGUGAGGUCAGCCGAAUGCGUUGGAACACGCAGGCGGAGCGGGUGAUACCCCCUUAGGCGAAGGCCGCACGCCGACCCUGGAACGUCAUCCCGAGUAGCAGCGAGCCCGAGGAAUUUGCUGUGAAUCCGCCAGGACCACCUGGUAAGCCUAAAUACUCCCUGGUGACCGAUAGCGGAAGAGUACCGUGAGGGAAAGGUGAAAAGUACCCCGGGAGGGGAGUGAAAGAGUACCUGAAACCGUGUGCCUACAAGCCGUCAGAGCCUUCGGGUGAUGGCGUGCCUAUUGCAAAAUGAGCCUGCGAGUUAGUGCUGCGUGGCAAGGUUAACCCGUGUGGGGAAGCCGUAGCGAAAGCGAGUCUGAAGAGGGCGUACGGAGUCGCGCGGCCUAGACCCGAAACCGAGUGAUCUACCCAUGGCCAGGGUGAAGCGCCGGUAAGACGGCGUGGAGGCCCGAACCCACUUAGGUUGAAAACUGAGGGGAUGAGCUGUGGGUAGGGGUGAAAGGCCAAUCAAACUCGGUGAUAGCUGGUUCUCCCCGAAAUGCAUUUACGUGCAGCGUCGUAUGAUUCACGGUGGGGGUAGAGCUACUGGAUGGCUGAGGGGCCUUAACGGGUUACCGAGGUCAACUAAACUCCGAAUACCAUCGUGACCAGUGCGGCAGUGAGUCGGCGGGGGAGAAGCUUCGCUGACAAAAGGGAAACAGCCCAGAUCACCGGCUAAGGCCCCCAAGUGUGUGCUGAGUGGGAAAGGAUGUGGGACGGCACAGACAACCAGGAGGUUGGCCUAGAAGCAGCCAUCCUUGAAAGAGUGCGUAAUAGCUCACUGGUCAAGUGGUCCUGCGCCGAUAAUGUAGCGGGGCUAAGCACAUCGCCGAAGCCGUGGCACUGCGUCGAUGGCGCAGUGGGUAGGGGAGCAUCGAUCAUCCGCUGAAGUCGCGGCGUGAGCCAGUGAUGGAGGGUGGUCGAGAGAGAAUGCAGGCAUGAGUAGUGAAAGCAGAGUGAGAAUCUCUGCCGCCGGAUGACCAAGGUUUCCUGGGCCAGGCUGUUCCGCCCAGGGUUAGUCGGGACCUAAGGCGAGGCCGACAGGCGUAGUCGAUGGAUAACGGGUUAAUAUUCCCGUACCCGCGUGUGCGCGUUUGCAGCGAAGGGGCGACGCAGAAGGGUAGCCCAACCCGGGCGUUGGUUGACCCGGGGUAAAGGUGUAGGGCGGUACGCAGGGAAAGCCGCGUACCGGGUGCCUGAGACCUGAUGCCGAGCCAUAGAGGCGAAGUGGGUGAUCCCGCGCUGCCGAGAAAAACCUCUAGUGAGCGCACGGGCGGCCCGUACCCCAAACCAACACAGGUGGUCAGGUAGAGAAUACCGAGGCGAGCGGGUGAACCGUGGUUAAGGAACUCGGCAAAAUGUCCCCGUAACUUCGGGAGAAGGGGAGCCGGAUGGCGUGUACGCCCUGUGCGGUGGAAGCGCCGGCCGGCCGCAGAGAGCAGGCCCGAGCGACUGUUUACUAAAAACACAGGUCCAUGCGAAGAAGCAAUUCGAUGUAUAUGGACUGACGCCUGCCCGGUGCUGGAACGUUAAGAGGACCCGUUAGCUCCCCUCGAGGGGGCGAAGCGGAGAAUUUAAGCGCCAGUAAACGGCGGUGGUAACUAUAACCAUCCUAAGGUAGCGAAAUUCCUUGUCGGGUAAGUUCCGACCUGCACGAAUGGCGUAACGACUUGGGCACUGUCUCAACCACGGACCCGACGAAAUUGCACUACGAGUAAAGAUGCUCGUUACGCGCGGCAGGACGGAAAGACCCCGGGACCUUUACUACAGCUUGGUAUUGGUUUUCGGUUCGGCUUGUGUAGGAUAGGUGGGANNNNNNNNNNNNNNNNNNNNNNNNNNNNNNNNNNNNNNNNNNCGGACCAUGAUCUGGUUCAGGGACAGUGCCUGGUGGGUAGUUUAACUGGGGCGGUUGCCUCCCAAAGAGUAACGGAGGCGCCCAAAGGUUCCCUCAGCCUGGUUGGAAAUCAGGUGUCGAGUGCAAGUGCACAAGGGAGCUUGACUGUGAGACCGACGGGUCGAGCAGGAGCGAAAGCUGGGACUAGUGAUCCGGCACCACCUGGUGGAAGGGGUGUCGCUCAACGGAUAAAAGGUACCCCGGGGAUAACAGGCUUAUCUUGCCCAAGAGUCCAUAUCGACGGCAUGGUUUGGCACCUCGAUGUCGGCUCGUCGCAUCCUGGGGCCGCAGUUGGUCCCAAGGGUUGGGCUGUUCGCCCAUUAAAGCGGCACGCGAGCUGGGUUUAGAACGUCGUGAGACAGUUCGGUCCCUAUCCGCCGCGCGCGCAGGAGACUUGAGGAAACCUGUCCCUAGUACGAGAGGACCGGGACGGACGAACCUCUGGUGUGCCAGUUGUCCCGCCAGGGGCACGGCUGGUUAGCUACGUUCGGAUGGGAUAACCGCUGAAGGCAUCUAAGCGGGAAGCCCGUUCCAAGAUGAGGUCUCCCACCCCGCGAGGGUUAAGGCCCCCACCAGACCAGUGGGUUGAUAGGCCGGAAGUGGAAGCGCAGCAAUGCGUGCUUGAGCUAACCGGUACUAAUCGGCCGAGGGCUUGUCCAUACAUCC
RNAcentral lists this ribosomal RNA (2965 nucleotides) under Haloechinothrix aidingensis. Its description in RNAcentral is "Haloechinothrix sp. YIM 98757 23S ribosomal RNA". It matches the Rfam family "Bacterial large subunit ribosomal RNA". The record is from RNAcentral. Lineage: Bacteria; Bacillati; Actinomycetota; Actinomycetes; Pseudonocardiales; Pseudonocardiaceae.